Molecule: long non-coding RNA, 1332 nt
Organism: Belonocnema kinseyi
Lineage: Eukaryota; Metazoa; Arthropoda; Insecta; Hymenoptera; Cynipidae
Exons: 3
Source: RefSeq, a predicted model, not a curated record
GACACUCUUUUGGCUGUGAGGAAUAUGAAACUCGAAAAAAGAUUCUGCCUUGUAACUGACGAGAGAAGUGUGCCUUGUCCGAAGUGUCGGAGAACGUUCGCAAGAAUGCAUUACUUGUGAAGACACCUAGUGCAACUGCACGGAUUAGCAGCCUGCAAAAAAUACAAGACCUGUUACGAGGAAGUUCAUCAGCAUACCUGCACAACAAUGGCAACCAAAAAUAUAAACGCACAAUUUAAGUGUAGCGUUUGUAAUUUUUAAGCGUCAACGGAGUUCGAGACUUUGCUGUUCUUCAUCAGUAGAUUACAAUGCCUGCAUCAGGAGUUCUACCAGAAGCGAUAUCAGAAACUGAAUCAGAAAAUGUACCAGACGUUCUACCAAGAGAAACUGUACCUAGGACCAUAACAGAUAUUAUAGGUCUGGCAGCUCUGAAGAAACAGUCCAUUGCAGAAAUCGCUGGGUCAGCAGAGGUUUUGGAAAAACGUUCAAAGUAUCCUUGCGUACUUUGCGACAAUGUUUACGAAACAAGAUUGGCGUCCUUGUGUCACCUUGCAAGUGCGCACAAGCUUAACGCCGAGGAUGAGAGCCAAAAUCCUUUAAGCAUUCCAGAUCUCUUUAUUUCGCAUGAUGAGGCUGAGAGAUCUGAAUCGUUUUUUGGGCCACCCAAAUCUUUUUCUGGACCAUUUAAAUCAUGUACUGUACUGCCUGGGACGUCUGCUAGACCACCUGAACCGUCUGCUGGCCCAUCGGAAUCAUUAACUGCGACCUCUUUAGAAACAAACCGUCUGUCCAAAUAUCUUCCUUCUACCCUCCAAGAAAACAAAAUAGGGAAGCAAAAAAAAACUAAGAAGGGAGUGUCGAAUCUGUAGGCAAAUCAUGUCAACGCCUUUUGAUCUGCGAAUGCAUCUUCAAGCAGUUCAUGGAGUUUCGGCCAGUAACUGUACAGAAGAUGAAAACAAUAAAGAAAAUGCAUUGAACCCGAAUACACUAAACUCCCGAUAUAAGAACGCCUAGUUUACGAUAUUGUUAGAACUGAUGGCCUCCGUAGUUUCAUGCCGAGAGGAGCCGCGGGUACGAAAGAGAGGAAGUGCUCAGCCAAGCGUGACUAACAGCUCGAGAGCCGCAUUUACAGCGCGUUAGUUGCAUCAGCUUGGGUGCUUUAUUCGUCCAAAUUGAACAGCAAUGAUUCAUGCGACCCUGCUUAUUUACGUUUUAAGUCCCCUAAUUCAGGAUCAAGGCCAAUGAAACACAUGUCCGAAAUUGUUCUAAUAUCGAGAAUUGAGUGCAAUUCCUUGUACACCAUUUUGUAAUAAUAACUCGUAUCCAUAAAAU